Long non-coding RNA from Xenia sp. Carnegie-2017, 731 nucleotides. RefSeq lists it as uncharacterized. The transcript has 3 exons. Lineage: Eukaryota; Metazoa; Cnidaria; Anthozoa; Malacalcyonacea; Xeniidae. The record is from RefSeq and is a predicted model, not a curated record.
ACUGUGAACUAGUCAACAAACAACUGAGAAUGAACAUUAUAUUUCUGAAUUUAUGAAAACUGACUUGGAAACUUUGAAAAUGAACUAAAAAUGAGUUUAUUUUCUUUGUCUUUCUCUGUUUAUUGUAAAUAAAACGUUAUCCACUCUGUGGCAUUUCGUUGUUCGUGUUUUAUGACAACAAUUUUAGCCGCCAUUUUGGGGAAUAUUUUAGCUAUUUGUGUUAAACUUGGAAAUGUUAAAGUGAAAAAAACUGAACCAAACGAAGAAAAAGUAGAGGCAAUACAUUCAUUCUGUGCUUGAUCUCAUAAGAUAAAUCGUAUUUCACCACCUACUUAUGUUGUCAAAACGACAACAAUGAAUUGAAAAGAAGGUUUAAAAGCUUUGGAAACUUCAAUCAAAACCAUUGAAGAAGUCAUUAUGAACAAGAAAGCCAAAGGUUGUCACAGAUAUGGAUGAAGUAGAUUUUGCAAAGGAACUGGAAAUAUAUGAACAUCAAAAUGCAGAAGUUGAUGGUGAUGAUGAUAAUCCUGAUGAAGAAGAGCAAGAUGAAGCAUAAAUAAUUGUGGUUUGUUCUAAAACAUUUUAAAAGACACAUACUGUAUUUUAUUUUUAUCUUACACGACCCUGCAGUUGACUUGAACUGCAUUUAGUUAAACUUCAAUUAUAUUCACACCCAACAGAGAUAUCAAUCUUUCAUGUUACUAUUAGAAAUAAAUGUUUCAUGGUCAGUA